UGCCGAAGUUUUCCUCGGUAGUUAACUUCCAUAAUUCGGCAGUUAACUGCCGAUGAGCAU
This 60-nucleotide microRNA precursor is filed under the name Medicago truncatula (barrel medic). Its description in RNAcentral is "MIR2629 microRNA precursor family". It matches the Rfam family "MIR2629 microRNA precursor family". The record is from Rfam by way of RNAcentral. Lineage: Eukaryota; Viridiplantae; Streptophyta; Magnoliopsida; Fabales; Fabaceae.